GCAGGGAGUCCCUUUCUGAUUGGUGUGUAUUUGGCUCCAUAUUUGGGCAUCGUCUUCAUUGGCCUCCGAAUUCAAAAUGGCAGAAAACAAGGAAAGUAAAAGCGGUUACGAUGUUGGUUUUUUCUAUUAUGAUUGGGCUCUAUCCCGAUACAGAUGGAUGGAUGGUAAUUGUUUUACUAAAGUAAGUGGCUUUGAGCCUGUCAAGAACAUGGCUUGUUCUUCGUCUGAAGUCAAAGCACAGAAGGAGAUGGUGAAAGAUGAUCCUCAAUCAUCAGGUUCUCAAGAUAAUCAAUCUCUUGAGAGGAAAGAACCUAUAGGUGCAGAAAUGAAGAAGCCAUUACAAGACAAAGAUGUUAAUCAGUUACCUCCAAGAAGCAGGAUAUCCUUUAGAAGACAUUCCCAAGAGGAUUUACAUACUCAAGUUAUUAUAUCAAGAAAAGGAGCAACAGUUGUUAAAAGUCAAAGUCUGUGCUCCUUACAACCACAAAAUGAGGCUCAAGAGAUUGAAAGAGGUCAUGGCACCAUGAUCAAUGUCUUACAAACAAGACUGCUCAGGUUACGGGCUGCACAAACACUCUGGCAUAAGGACACAAAUGCUUUAAUUGAGUAUCUUCUACGACUGAAAGAUGACUCUGUCGUGGUUGACAUUAUGCCAUUUCUAACAAGCAGAGUACGUGAGGUAUCACCUGAAGGGCAUGCCUUGUCCAUGGGAGCCUGUUUGGAAAUGUUACCAGCACUUGAAAGACUCUUAACAUCUAAAUUUGAAGAUUACAUUAUUGCUGGACUGAACAUGAUCAGGGAGAUGAUUAAACGUUGGUGGAUGCAGUUAAAAGCUGCAACAAAUAAAGGUAUUGAACCAGAGUGGCAGAGAUGUAGCAGGAGUGUGAGUGGCUUGUAUAUGGCAAUAGUUUCUCUAUCCACCAUUAUCGUCAAACUAUCCAAGAGGAAGGGACGAGUGGGUGAGAAAGCCCUUAUGAAAGCUGGUAGAGGUAUUUAUGACUGUGGUGAUGUAUCGGUCACAACAGCACGGUCGGUGAGAUCAAAGAAUUGAUACAAGAAAGCCAGAAAGUGGGAUCGUGUUAACUUAGCAUAUGAUGGAAAUUAAGCUCGUGGCUUUUUCUCUUGGCAAGAGAAUUUGGUGUUUUCUACUCACUUUCUCUCCUUGUGGAGUCGAAGUUCGACCAGAGGGAAAAUUUCUUCAGAGAUGGUAUGCAAGUCAACCUACAUGUACGAUCGAGUAAAUAUACUCCUAAAUAUUUUAGUGAUCAUGGAUGGACAAGUCCAAGAGACUGUGUAGAUCUACUUUUUGCAAGAGAGAGAUGCUGUCCAAUUGUGUCAAACAUAAGCUAGACGCAUGAUGGCUGUGAUGUAGAUUUUUUUUUACUUCAAGAAAUGAGAGAUUUAAACAAAUUGAAAAUAUGAAUUAUGGAGAAGAGAUUGCUUGUAGAAUUACUGUCUUAGUUAAAAAGGCAAAUUAACAUAAUGAACUUGAUACCUGUCAACAUAAGUAUGUUCUGUAAUCAUUGCAAAAAUCUGUUAGAAGAGAGGUAUCUGCAAUCCUUUUGAAUAUUACUGCACUGCUAGUGAGAUUAGCCGAACAAUUACCAAGAUAUAUAGGAAUAAAUUACCGUGAUUUAUGUUUCCAAGAAAGAGAAUUGUUAUUUUACCUGCAUACACUACAAUAUGUAGUACCCUUAUUAUUGAUUGCACCAAGCUAGGGGGGGGGGGGGGUUCUCCCUAUAGUUGACUAAAGGUGCCCUUUUUUCAGGCUGGAGAUAUUAUAAGACUCAACAGGACAGGGAUUUCAAACAUGAAUUGAUUAUUUAUCCAAGAAAUAAGACAUAGUGGGGCCACAUUAGGUUUGUGAAAGGGGUUUCAAGCUAGGAGCUACAUGUAUAUGAAAGAGAAGCCUUUCCUGUCAAAAACACUAUGUAAAAUGGAUAGGGUUUUUACCUUGGGGCAGAGCAUCCUGGUAUAAAAGUUUGUUACUUCCCUUCCACCUCCCCAUGGACAUAGUUAUAUAGCAAAAAAACUUAGAAAUUGUAAAUAAAAACAUCCCCUUCACUGUGGGUUCAAGAUUGAAACAAAACUGUCUGAAAUUCUAAUAAUAUUGAAGGAAAUACUUUUCUUUCUAUAGAUUUCCCAUUUACCAGCAAGCUAAAAUCAAAUUGUUUAUAUUUGACAUAGCUUAAAGUAAACAAGAUUUUGCCAAUAUCCUUGUCUCACUUAAGUGAAAUUCGGGCAAAAUACUCUUGACAGUCUUGGCAUUCUCAAGUUGAUUGUCUAAAAGAAAUGUUAAAAUCAUGUGUUACAAUUUUUGCACAAUUGUUAUACUCAGUUGUUUCGUAAUGUUAACUGAACAAGGAUCAUAACCAAUUUACCUUGACCCAAAAUGUACUGCCGACUCCCUAAUAUUAUACAUAUAUUAUAACAAACGUCAGUGGCUAGGUGUCAAUUUUGGACUGAGUGGUGAAUAUUGUGAAAUCUCAUUUAAUGAUUUCAUUUUGAAACACUGUUGUUAUUCUUUGACACUACAUCAUGUCAUG
This 2546-nucleotide unclassified non-coding RNA is filed under the name Orbicella faveolata. RNAcentral's name for it is "katanin p80 WD40 repeat-containing subunit B1-like, transcript variant X3". The record is from RNAcentral. Lineage: Eukaryota; Metazoa; Cnidaria; Anthozoa; Scleractinia; Merulinidae.